CAGCAGCCACGGGAAUACGUAGGUGGCAAGCGUUGUCCGGAAUUAUUGGGCGUAAAGGGCUCGCAGGCGGUUUCUUAAGUCUGAUGUGAAAGCCCCCGGCUCAACCGGGGAGGGUCAUCGGAAACUGGGAAACUUGAGUGCAGAAGAGGAGAGUGGAAUUCCACGUGUAGCGGUGAAAUGCGUAGAGAUGUGGAGGAACACCAGUGGCGAAGGCGACUCUCUGGUCUGUAACUGACGCUGAGGAGCGAAAGCGUGGGGAGCGAACAGGAUUAGAUACCCCUGUAGUCCCUGUCUCUUAUAC
This 301-nucleotide ribosomal RNA is filed under the name uncultured bacterium. RNAcentral describes it as "partial 16S ribosomal RNA". It matches the Rfam family "Bacterial small subunit ribosomal RNA", at positions 509 to 807 of the family's 1533-position model. The record is from RNAcentral.